Molecule: long non-coding RNA, 513 nt
Filed under: Androctonus crassicauda
Lineage: Eukaryota; Metazoa; Arthropoda; Arachnida; Scorpiones; Buthidae
Source: RNAcentral
AUAAACUGAAGGCGUUCCAAACAAAAUAGAGCAGAGAAACAUUUUAAAUUAAACAUUGGAGAUAAAAUAUUACAAAAAUAGACAUAAAAAUAAGUUGAGUCCUACUAAGAUAGAUCAUAAACUGUACCAACGAAAUAAAUUAAUUCCCUGGGAGGGGAGAGGAGCAGUAGAAUUCGCUAUGGAUUUCUUUGAAUCGCAUAUUUCCAGGUUGUACUUAAUCCAUCAGCUUGCUUGAUAUUGAUGAUGAUAUUCGUUUUGCAGUUCCUUAGGAUUUCAAUUUUUUCGGCUGGGGGUGGCGUUUUGCGGUCAUACACAUUUUUUAUAGCUUGUGUGUCAUGUCAGAGGAUUUUCGUAUCUUUUUCAAGGGCUCUUGGGGCUGGGGCGGUGUUGGGGUUACCCUUAGAUAUGUUUUCCAUGUGUUCUGUGGCUCUGUCCUUAAAAUUUCGGGCUGUGGCUCCUACGUGUAUUUCCAACUAGUUGUCUUUGAUGUUCUGUAGGGGGGUCUUGCGUAAC